UCGAGAAUCAUUCACAAUGGGGGAAACCCUGAUGGUGCGACGCCGCGUGGGGGAAUGAAGGUCUUCGGAUUGUAAACCCCUGUCAUGGGGGAGAAAAUUAAAAAGAUAGUACCACAAGAGGAAGAGACGGCUAACUCUGUGACAGAAGCCGCGGUAAUACAGAGGUCUCAAGCGUUGUUCGGAAUCACUGGGCGUAAAGCGUGCGUAGGCGGUUUCGUAAGUCGGGUGUGAAAGGCGCGGGCUCAACCCGCGGACGGCAUAUGUGACUGCGAGACUAGAGUAAUGGAGGGGGAACCGGAAUUCUCGGUGUAGCAGUGAAAUGCGUAGAUAUCGGGAGGAACACUCGUGGCGAAGGCGGGUUCCUGGACAUUAACUGACGCUGAGGCACGAAGGCCAGGGGAGCGAAAG
This 408-nucleotide ribosomal RNA is filed under the name uncultured prokaryote. Its description in RNAcentral is "bacterial SSU rRNA". It matches the Rfam family "Bacterial small subunit ribosomal RNA", at positions 355 to 774 of the family's 1533-position model. The record is from RNAcentral.